UUUCUCGAGGGGCUCUCCUGGGCUUCUGAAGAAGGAGCCUCUCUGGAGUGCGGCGGAGGCGGCGCCUGCGAACCUAACUAGCUCCAGGUUAGGCCGGGCUUUGCGGGAAAGCAGCGGACUUGAAAAUACUGGAAAUCUGUCUGGAUCCAAAUUCUUUUGCAAGCCAGAUGAGUAACCAGAGGGCAUGAAAGGUUGAGAACAUUUGACUUCCCUGCAAACCUUGGUAUAGAUCACUUCCUUUUCUGUAGGAAAGGAAAGGCACCAAAGAGCACAAUGAGUACAUAGAGACGGGGUUUCAACGUGUUAGCCAGGAUGGUCUCGAUCUUCUGACCUUGUGAUCUGCCCGCCUCAGCCCCCCUCAGCCUCCCAAAGUGCUGGGAUUACAGGCGUGAGCCAACACACCUGGCCAGAACUUUUUAGAAGAGGCAAAGGCAGAGGAGAAUAAAGGAAGGAGGAAGUAACUUGUGGAAUGCUGAAAAAGAGAAAGCGUCGUGGUGGAGCAAUAAAUUCUAGACAAGCCCAGAAGCGAACUCGGGAAGCAACCUCCACCCCAG
Molecule: small RNA, 554 nt
Filed under: Pongo abelii (Sumatran orangutan)
Lineage: Eukaryota; Metazoa; Chordata; Mammalia; Primates; Hominidae
Description: processed transcript
Source: RNAcentral